RNAcentral lists this ribosomal RNA (479 nucleotides) under uncultured bacterium. Its description in RNAcentral is "partial 16S ribosomal RNA". It matches the Rfam family "Bacterial small subunit ribosomal RNA", at positions 28 to 507 of the family's 1533-position model. The record is from RNAcentral.
GACGAACGCUGGCGGCGUGCUUAACACAUGCAAGUCGAACGAAGCUUGAUUACGGAUUCUUCGGAUGAAGUAUGAUAUGACUGAGUGGCGGACGGGUGAGUAACGCGUGAGUAACCUGCCCUUCAGAGGGGGAUAGCGUUUGGAAACGAACGGUAAUACCGUAUAAUGUAUUUUGACCGCAUGAUCGAAAUACCAAAGAUUUAUCGCUGAAGGAUGGACUCGCGUCUGAUUAGGUAGUUGGUGGGGUAACGGCCUACCAAGCCGACGAUCAGUAGCCGGACUGAGAGGUUGAUCGGCCACAUUGGGACUGAGACACGGCCCAGACUCCUACGGGAGGCAGCAGUGGGGAAUAUUGCACAAUGGGCGCAAGCCUGAUGCAGCAACGCCGCGUGAAGGAAGACGGUUUUCGGAUUGUAAACUUCUGUUCUUAGUGAAGAAUAAUGACGGUAGCUAAGGAGCAAGCCACGGCUAACUACGUG